GGAAUAUUGGACAAUGGGCGAAAGCCUGAUCCAGCAAUGCCGCGUGAGUGAUGAAGGCCUUAGGGUUGUAAAGCUCUUUUACCCGGGAUGAUAAUGACAGUACCGGGAGAAUAAGCUCCGGCUAACUCCGUGCCAGCAGCCGCGGUAAUACGGAGGGAGGGAGCGUUGUUCGGAAUUACUGGGCGUAAAGCGCACGUAGGCGGCUUUGUAAGUUAUAGGUGAAAGCCCGGGGCUCAACUCCGGAACUGCCUUUAAAACUGCAUCGCUUGAAUCCAGGAGAGGUGAGUGGAAUUCCGAGUGUAGAGGUGAAAUUCGUAGAUAUUCGGAAGAACACCAGUGGCGAAGGCGGCUCACUGGACUGGUAUUGACGCUGAGGUGCGAAAGCGUGGGGAGCAAAC
Molecule: ribosomal RNA, 398 nt
Filed under: uncultured bacterium
Lineage: Bacteria
Description: bacterial SSU rRNA
Rfam family: Bacterial small subunit ribosomal RNA
Source: RNAcentral